CCUUCUUCUUGGCAGGGGUCAGGCCUGUGGUCCUGGUCCCUGUAAUAUAUGGAGGCAGAGGGAAAGGGCUCCAGCCCCUUCAGUGUCAUGUCUUGGGUGCCGACAAUUUUCAAUCUAGUCUGUUGGCUCCAUCCUCAAGCACAGGGACAGGG
Molecule: small nucleolar RNA, 152 nt
Organism: Molossus molossus (Pallas's mastiff bat)
Lineage: Eukaryota; Metazoa; Chordata; Mammalia; Chiroptera; Molossidae
Product: small nucleolar RNA SNORA57
Exons: 1
Source: RefSeq, a predicted model, not a curated record